UACGAAGGGGGCUAGCGUUGCUCGGAAUCACUGGGCGUAAAGCGCACGUAGGCGGAUCAUUAAGUCGGGGGUGAAAUCCUGGAGCUCAACUCCAGAACUGCCUUCGAUACUGAAGAUCUCGAGUCCGGGAGAGGUGAGUGGAACUCCGAGUGUAGAGGUGAAAUUCGUAGAUAUUCGGAAGAACACCAGUGGCGAAGGCGGCUCACUGGCCCGGUACUAACGCUGAGGUGCGAAAGCGUGGGGAGCAAACAGG
RNAcentral lists this ribosomal RNA (253 nucleotides) under uncultured bacterium. Its description in RNAcentral is "partial 16S ribosomal RNA". It matches the Rfam family "Bacterial small subunit ribosomal RNA", at positions 524 to 776 of the family's 1533-position model. The record is from RNAcentral. RNAcentral also lists the same sequence under 1 other name.